Molecule: long non-coding RNA, 1080 nt
Organism: Acanthopagrus latus (yellowfin seabream)
Lineage: Eukaryota; Metazoa; Chordata; Actinopteri; Spariformes; Sparidae
Exons: 2
Source: RefSeq, a predicted model, not a curated record
GUUUGUGUGUGUGUGUGUGUGUGUGUGGUUAUGGUUGGGUGUGUUCAUCAUGGCUACCAAUGAAGUGUUUUGGGAUGGUCCAACAACAGCAUCUGAAGGAUGCUCAUGCAAAAGUGUGUUGUGCUUUCUAGUUUCAUCAUCAAACAAUGAGCACAUGUCCACUGUGUCCCCUCCAUGGGCUUCCUUGCUGAACUGGGGUGAGAUGAUAUUGAUGCAAACAGGAGAAUUGAACCCCAAUUAAAUUUAAAAUCAAAUUACAUCGCCUCAGUGGGCUUUACAGUCUGCGGUGUGUGAUACACUCCGUCCUCACACAGGGAGGCUGCUUACUGGCUUCGGUUCAACAGGGACGGCAGAAUUUGGAAAAGAGAAAUCAAUACAAUAAACAUAUGGACGUGAGAGUAUUUUUUAUUCAGAUGUGAAAAUCAUUUAAAGAACAAAAGGGCCUGGAACCUUGAUUGAAUUUCAUGGCCUAAAAAAAAAACACAUUUUAAUUUAAUUACUUAACACAUUAUGAAAAUGAAUGUCAACAGGAAGGUGGAAAAAAAAAAAACAGGUUUCUCUUAAUUUAAAUCACAUGCAACACAAAAUUGCAAUAAUCUCUGUUGUUUAAAAAAAAAAAAAUACACCUUUAAAUCUCAGGCACACCUAGUUUUGACCAAUUAAAAUCAAAAUAUUCAAAAAAAAUAUUGCCUUUUUCCUUUUGGGGAAAUCUAGAUCCAGGUCCGCCUUCAACAGCCUCUUAAAUUUACACAUGAUAAUAAAACAAAACAAUGAAGAACACCGAUCAUAAAAGAGUUGCAUUUAUUUGACAGUGACACAGUGGUACGGAGACAAAUAACGAGACUUGUAAUGAGGUACAGUACAUCUUGUUCUGAGGUACAUCAGCGUUGUUAUUGUAUUUUCUGGAGGGUAUGCACUUUCUCUGUUACUGUCUGAAUUCAAAUGAAGUUGGCAAAAAAUAAAAAAUACUAAUCGUUUUGUCAAUACGAACACCAUGACUUGAACUUUUAAAUCCAUGUAAACUGAGGUUAUUAUGAGAAACAGCACUAUGUUGAAAAAAAAAAAAAAGACAGUUUUAAU